RNAcentral lists this ribosomal RNA (253 nucleotides) under uncultured bacterium. RNAcentral's name for it is "partial 16S ribosomal RNA". It matches the Rfam family "Bacterial small subunit ribosomal RNA", at positions 524 to 776 of the family's 1533-position model. The record is from RNAcentral.
UACGGGGGGGGCAAGCGUUGUUCGGAAUUACUGGGCGGAAAGGGCUCGUAGGCGGCCAACUAAGUCAGACGUGAAAUCCCUCGGCUUAACCGGGGAACUGCGUCUGAUACUGGAUGGCUUGAGAUUGGGAGAGGGAUGCGGAAUUCCGGGUGUAGCGGUGGAAUGCGUAGAGAUCCGGAAGAACACCGGUGGCGGAGGCGGCCUGCUGGGCAGUUGCUGACACUGAGGCGCGACAGCGUGGGGAGCAAACAGG